This 1237-nucleotide long non-coding RNA is filed under the name Rhinopithecus bieti (black snub-nosed monkey). Its description in RNAcentral is "lncRNA (ENSRBIG00000046652.1)". The record is from RNAcentral. Lineage: Eukaryota; Metazoa; Chordata; Mammalia; Primates; Cercopithecidae.
GCUGGAUGUGCACGUGCCCUAAGCACGCUGGCACGAUCAUUAGAUGAGAGGACCUGGCACACUGGCCAGCUGUUCUUGCUCAUCUGUGUCUCCUUGGCUCAUGCACAAGGUCAGAAAUGGUCUCGGCGCUUGAGAGAGACACAGCAAACCCUCCAGCACACUUCCCUGAUUUCAAAGCUUGGAGUUCAUAGUUAUUAUCCCUCACUCCAGCCUGUGCUGCACCAAAGCAGAGGACAGCUCAAAACGCAGAAUUAAACAUGUUUCUUUCAGAGGCAGAAUGGCUAAAAUCUAGAUGGAGCGUCUGAGGGCUAAGCCAAGUCAUCAAGGUGUGUGUUUUCCUUCUUAUGGCUGAGGGAUAGACCAGGGGAAUCUCUUCUCCUACGUCACUUCCUUGGUGGGCCGGGCAGGAGGGACGUGUCCACCCCUCAUCUCACAUCCUGCCACCUCGGAAGCUGCCUCGUCUGUCUCCUCCUGGUACCUCUGAGAUCUCACUGGAGACUAGAACCCCGAUGGGGUCCUCCUUACCUGCUCCUUCUCCAGUUCCCCCUCGCCUAUAGCGUUGUCCACAUCCCCUGGCUCGGCAGUCAAGGCUCUGCAGGAAUGAAGUUUGCUUUCAUCUGCAAAUGUUGCUAAGAAAGAAUCUUUCGUUCAAUGUGCUGUGGUCCACUCUGCACUUCAGGAUCUCAGGCUUUACCCAGAACCUGGAGCAAGACCACUUCAACUCUUACAAGAAAUUCACAGAAGGAGGAGGAGGAACAGUAGCAGCAGUAGCAGCAGCAGCAGUAGCAGCAGGAGCAGCAGCAGCAGCAGCAGCAGGAGCAACGGCAAAAAGCAUGUUCCAGAAAAAAGAUUUGGGUAUACCACCAUGGAAUACUCCAUGCCAGGGACAGGAUAUUACACUUCAAGCACAGACAUGCAGCUCUUCAGCACUGUCAUUACACACAUGUGACUUAGGAGGAGCAGAGCAUGAAAACAAAGCUUGUAUGUGAUCACAUGGAACCAGUUAGGGGAAAGAGUGGGAGCUGAACUUUGGAUGACUCUGAAUCAUACUCAAUUGAUUCUCCAUCAUCCAACAAGCCAUCAUCAAAAACAGGCAAAACACAGCCCAGAGAGAAUAGUACACAUUGGAAAUAUGCGCAGAUGCAGUGGUACAUAUUAUUGUCUAGACAUGAAUGAAUACUGUGACUUAGUGAGACAUAAGCCCUAAAAGGCAAAAAUAGAAGCAGUGUGUCCUUCU